CCAAUAGCGUAUAUUAAAGUUGUUGCAGUUAAAAAGCUCGUAGUUGAAUUUCGGGAUCAAUAUAUCGGUCGUGCCUUGGUACGUACUGGUAUCAUUGGUUUCUCCUUUCUGACGAACCAUGAUGUCAUUAAUUUGGUGUUAUGGGAAGUUAGGACUGUUACUUUGAAAAAAUUAGAGUGUUUAAAGCAGGCUUUAGCUUGAAUACAUUAGCAUGGAAUAAUGAAAUAGGACGUUUGAUUCUAUUUUGUUGGUUUCUAGGAUCGACGUAAUGAUUAAUAGGGAUAGUUGGGGGCAUUAGUAUUCAAUUGUCAGAGGUGAAAUUCUUGGAUUUAUUGAAGACUAACUACUGCGAAAGCAUUUGCCAAGGAUGUUCUCAUUAAUCAAGAACGAAAGUUAGGGGAUCGAAGACGAUCAGAUACCGUCGUAGUCUUAACCAUAAACUAUGCCGACUAGGGAUCGGAUGAUGUUAAUUUUUUAAUGACUCAUUCGGCGCCUUACG
This 499-nucleotide ribosomal RNA is filed under the name uncultured Glomeromycotina. RNAcentral describes it as "partial small subunit ribosomal RNA". It matches the Rfam family "Eukaryotic small subunit ribosomal RNA", at positions 591 to 1092 of the family's 1831-position model. Lineage: Eukaryota; Fungi; Glomeromycota. The record is from RNAcentral.